GUGAUGUUAACUGAGGACAUUAAAGUGGCCCUGAGACCAAAAGCUAAUGUUCAAAAUGGCCUAAUCGAAAGACACGAAAUUUCAAAAGUAGUGAGAGGCCUAAUGGAAGGCAAAGAAGGGAAGAAGGUCCGCAACAGAAUGAAGGACCUUAAAGACGCAGCUGACAGGGUUCUCAGCGAAGAAGGCUCAUCUACAAAGGCAAUCUCUGGGUUGGCUCUCAAAUGGAAGAACCAAAUUUGCAACUAAAAGGAAAAUUUCUAGAUAUUAUAGUUUUUAGUAGUCCUAUAAUAACAGAUAAAUGGAAAUUGCAGCUUCUAGCUUUUACUCCUCCUCCUAGAUAAAAAUUUGCCUUUUGUAUUUAAUUACUUGUAGGUUUCCAGGUUCUUGUUGCAUAUGUGUGGUCCAAUCCACGUGCUUGUACAAUUCUUGUCCACAGCUUGAAUACAUAUUAGACAUGGUUUAUUCAGCGA
RNAcentral lists this unclassified non-coding RNA (470 nucleotides) under Hevea brasiliensis (rubber tree). Lineage: Eukaryota; Viridiplantae; Streptophyta; Magnoliopsida; Malpighiales; Euphorbiaceae. The record is from RNAcentral.